Molecule: long non-coding RNA, 494 nt
Filed under: Gossypium barbadense (sea-island cotton)
Lineage: Eukaryota; Viridiplantae; Streptophyta; Magnoliopsida; Malvales; Malvaceae
Description: long non-coding RNA (GBAR_LNC005671)
Source: RNAcentral
AUAAAAUUCAUACAUUAAAUACAGCUCAAGAACUUUAAAUAUAUAUAUUCGAACCAUAUGUGCAUAUAUAUAUAUAAUUCAUAAUAUUAAGUUCAACUCAAAGAAUCAAAGAACUUGUAUCAUACAUUCAAACUUUAUAUAUAUAAUUCAUAACUUUAAAUUCAACUCAAGAAAUUAAAUCUUACAUUAGAACUACAUAUCCAUGUACAUUCUACUAUUAGUUUCAUAUCAUUGAACUUAAAGCAUACUUUAGCUAAUAUACAUGUAAUUUAUACCAUUAAUAUCAACCUCCCAAAAUUAAUUUCUAUGUUCGGCUAUCACAUAGAAAAAUCACCAAGUUUUAUUCAAUUUAUAUACUUUUAGUUCCAGCUUACUAAAUGUAUGAUAGAUAUAUUUAUAUAAUUCCAAUUUAAUAACAUUUAAAUUGCUAUUAGACUUACCUUGGAUGUCGUCGACUGUUAAAUCGGCUACUCGACCACUUUUGUAUUUCCCCG